This 297-nucleotide small nuclear RNA is filed under the name Octodon degus (degu). RNAcentral describes it as "7SK RNA (ENSODEG00000023092.1)". It matches the Rfam family "7SK RNA". Rfam says of the family: 7SK was discovered as an abundant small nuclear RNA in the mid-70s but a possible function has only recently been suggested. Two independent studies have found that 7SK RNA binds the CDK9/cyclin T complex (known as elongation factor P-TEFb). P-TEFb activates transcription by phosphorylating the C-terminal domain of RNA polymerase II. Lineage: Eukaryota; Metazoa; Chordata; Mammalia; Rodentia; Octodontidae. The record is from Rfam by way of RNAcentral.
GGAUGUGAGGGGAUCUGGCUGUGAUAUCUGUCACCUCAUUUAUUGCCAGGGUUGAUCCAGAGGAUCUGGCUGGCAAGGCAGGUGUCCCCUUUCUCCCUCCACGCUCCCUCCGUGCUAAGUGAAAGAGGACGGACUCCCCUCCCCUCCUUGGAGGACAGUUCCUCCUUUGAGUGUGUACCAGUAUCUGUGCUCCCCUGCUAGAAUCUCCAAAAUAGCUCUCACCUGCUGCACAGUCAGACUUCAUGGGAAUCUGGAAUCAUAUUAGGGUAUUGUACAAGUUCAGUGUUGCUUGUUUCU